GGCAGGUUGCUGAAGGGAGAGGACGCAGACUGCAGGCUCUCCCCAGGGAGAGUCUGCAGGCCCUGACCCCAGGAGCAGGGCAUGUAGAGGCUCAGACAGACUCCAGAAUGACUGAUGAGCCCCAGGAAGAGACCAUACCGGAGGGAGCUAGGCCAUUGCAGACCCGGGGGAAACGUGGAGCUUCACUGAGGGAGAAAGGGGAGGAAGCAGCCCAGGAGACUUAGAAUCUUCUCUGGUGAGUGAAAGGGGGAACUGGUCAGUGUGUUUUAGGGAGGAUCCCCGCUGACUCGGUGGUAUAAAUGAUGACACAAUGUGCGGGGCGGGGGAGAACUGGGCUCCAUUAAUCAAUACCAAUGUGAACAAGAUCUGACUACAGGGAAGAGAGUGAACCUGACUGUAACUGUCACUGGAGAAAUCCUUGAAAAAACCACUUGUGUCUGACAGGAGAAGAGACAUCUGAACUGCCCAAUAACAAGCCAGUGGGAGUUUAACCUGAAUCAGCUGUGCAGGAUCAAGCCUAUGGACCGAAAUGCGUAUGCACUUGAGAAGAGAACAGGCCACAGUCUGCUUUCAGAAGUGACAGUCAUCGUCGAGGGGUUCAACCAUCCACACAGUUCCAGGCACCUCACUAUUUGUGUUCAUUGGAAUAAGCUCAUAAAGCAUUCAGUAAGAAGUGAUAACACUGUCUUCAGAAUGCCUGGUAUUCCUCCAAUUAUGCAAUGCAGCAAAGAAGAACAAACAUAAAGAAGAAGGAGCAACUAGAACGUAUGAAAUGUUUCAGAAUAUAAAUGUACAAAAUAAGCACCACCACAGCAGAGGUGCUGAGUAUUCCUUCUGGCAGAUUCUACCAUGGAUGCAGAUGGUUAUAGCCUCCAGUAGCACAAAUGUCCAAGCAGUCUCCCAGAGGAGUGUGUGUUAUAGUAAACCAGUCCAAGAGUUCACAAAGGCAUGAGUUACUGUGGCAAGAGCUACAUCAUCUAAUGAGGUACAGGUGGAAAAGGAGUUUCUAGCUACCAAGACAAACUGGAAAUCCAGGAGCAAUUGAGGAGCUGGAAGCAUCUCCUAGAUUAUGGACUUCCUUGAAAAAAUGGAGUCAUAUUCAUCAGCAAGACAGGCAAAUAUCUCAUCCCACCUGAGGUUUCUCCUUUCGUACCGGUAUCACUGUCUUCUUGUUUGGAAUUUUCGGCAAAUUCACACUCAUCCAAGCUGGGAAUUCUGCAUCUGUUCAUUCUAGGCAGCUUAAAGUCCCCUUCAUGCUGCUGGAGCAGCUCAAAAGCAAGUGAACUUAGGCUGAGAAAUUGGCCUUUAAGUUUCUUUUUUCCCUAUCUUUUCAAAAUUACUAGGAUAGCAUCCAGGUUACUCUGAAUUUUCCUGUUACACAGAGCCACUUAAAGUGAUAAUCUUUUGCAUCUGUGGCUGGAUUUAGGGGUGUCACAUUACCAAAUUCUUCAAUUUACAACCUGCCUUUUUGGUGCAGUUUACUUCCAUGUAUCUGUAGCUGAUUUGUCAUGACAAUAAGGCAACCUCAGUGGGUAUAUUUACUAUGUAAUAAUUGGACUUUAGAGCAAUUGCAGAAA
Long non-coding RNA from Chelonia mydas (Green sea turtle), 1577 nucleotides. RefSeq lists it as uncharacterized. The record is from RefSeq and is a predicted model, not a curated record. The transcript is spliced from 6 exons. NCBI's taxonomy places the organism in Eukaryota, Metazoa, Chordata, Testudines, Cheloniidae.